AGGGUGAACGCUGGCGGUAGGCCUAACACAUGCAAGUCGAACGGCAGCACAGUAGGAGCUUGCUCUUACGGGUGGCGAGUGGCGGACGGGUGAGGAAUACAUCGGAAUCUACCUUUUGGUGGGGGAUAACGUAGGGAAACUUACGCUAAUACCGCAUACGCCCUUCGGGGGAAAGCCGGGGACCAGCAAUGGCCUGGUGCUGAUAGAUGAGCCGAUGUCGGAUUAGCUAGUUGGUGAGGUAAUGGCUCACCAAGGCGACGAUCCGUAGCUGGUCUGAGAGGAUGAUCAGCCACACUGGAACUGAGACACGGUCCAGACUCCUACGGGAGCAGCAGUGGGGAAUAUUGGACAAUGGGCGCAAGCCUGAUCCAGCCAUACCGCGUGGGUGAAGAAGGCCUCGGUUGUAAGUACCUUUCGUUAGGAAAGGAAAGACGAUUACGGUUAAUACCGGUGUUCGUGACGGUACCGAAAGAAUAAGACGACCGCUAACUUACGU
Molecule: ribosomal RNA, 496 nt
Filed under: uncultured soil bacterium
Lineage: Bacteria
Description: bacterial SSU rRNA
Rfam family: Bacterial small subunit ribosomal RNA
Source: RNAcentral